RNAcentral lists this transfer RNA (87 nucleotides) under uncultured archaeon. RNAcentral's name for it is "tRNA-Ser(cag)". It matches the Rfam family "tRNA". From Rfam's summary of the family: Transfer RNA (tRNA) molecules are approximately 80 nucleotides in length. The record is from RNAcentral.
UGCGGGGGUUGCCAAGUCCGGUCAAAGGCGCAGGAUUCAGGGUCCUGUUUCGCAGGAAUUCGUGGGUUCAAAUCCCAUCCCCCGCAU